UGAUUCCAAAUACUGACAUAGUGGCAAGCAGCUCAUCGUGGCUUGCCUACAGUGUGCUAGUGUGAUGAAACAUUUGGUACUGAUACAAUGCUUGCAAUGCAGGAAAUUACCCUAUUGUACACAUCUCUGUCCAGAAAUAUGUCAUCCUGGUCAAUGCCCAUUGCCUGAACAGUGCUGCAAAAAGGUGAUAAUUCUAAUCAAUCAUGAGUUUACAGAUACUAUCAGUAUAAAUGAGUGUUGAAUUAGUUGAAUGUAUGUAUAUCUUACUAUUUUGCCUACUGUACUAAUAAUCUACUUUGCAACGACUACAUUUUCU
This 316-nucleotide long non-coding RNA is filed under the name Citrus x clementina. RNAcentral's name for it is "Citrus clementina (C. clementina) long non-coding RNA (CCLE_LNC003255)". The record is from RNAcentral. Lineage: Eukaryota; Viridiplantae; Streptophyta; Magnoliopsida; Sapindales; Rutaceae.